RNAcentral lists this long non-coding RNA (471 nucleotides) under Nicotiana tabacum (common tobacco). RNAcentral's name for it is "long non-coding RNA (NTAB_LNC016115)". Lineage: Eukaryota; Viridiplantae; Streptophyta; Magnoliopsida; Solanales; Solanaceae. The record is from RNAcentral.
AUCGCCUAUAAAUAUUCAGGGCCAUAAAAUACGACCUAAAGAACAAUAGUCACAGCUCCGCCAUGAUUAUUCUUCUUUUUUUGUAUUUUUCGGCCAAAAAACUAGAAUUCCGCCCCAUUCCCAUAUUUUCGUCUGCUAUAGCCCGCGCAUUCAGACUGGUCCCGGGCCCCACGGAUCCCGAUCGACUAAAAUUUUUCCGUACCAUAAAAGAAGACUUAAGGAACCAUAGUCACCGCCCCGCCUUGAUCGUUCCUCAUAUUUGGCAUUUUGUGGCCAAAAAACUAGAAUUCCGCCUUCCGAGUGGGCCGAACCCCCCGGACUCGGAUCGCCUAAAAACUUUUCGAGCAAUCAAAUACGUCCUAAGGAACCAUAGUCACCGUCCCGUCAUGAUCGUUCCUCAUUCUUUGCAUUUUACGGCCAAAGAACUAGAAUUCCACCCGAUUCCCAUAUUUUUGUUUGCAAUAGCCCACG